RNAcentral lists this ribosomal RNA (468 nucleotides) under uncultured bacterium. RNAcentral's name for it is "partial 16S ribosomal RNA". It matches the Rfam family "Bacterial small subunit ribosomal RNA", at positions 28 to 507 of the family's 1533-position model. The record is from RNAcentral.
GACGAACGCUGGCGGCGUGCUUAACACAUGCAAGUCGAACGGAAAGGCCCUGCUUUUGUGGGGUGCUCGAGUGGCGAACGGGUGAGUAACACGUGAGUAACCUGCCCUUGACUUUGGGAUAACUUCAGGAAACUGGGGCUAAUACCGGAUAGGAGCUCCUGCUGCAUGGUGGGGGUUGGAAAGUUUCGGCGGUUGGGGAUGGACUCGCGGCUUAUCAGCUUGUUGGUGGGGUAGUGGCUUACCAAGGCUUUGACGGGUAGCCGGCCUGAGAGGGUGACCGGCCACAUUGGGACUGAGAUACGGCCCAGACUCCUACGGGAGGCAGCAGUGGGGAAUAGUGCACAAUGGGCGGAAGCCUGAUGCAGCAACGCCGCGUGCGGGAUGACGGCCUUCGGGUUGUAAUCCGCUUUCGCCUGUGACGAAGCGUGAGUGACGGUAAUGGGUAAAGAAGCACCGGCUAACUACGUG